CUGUUCUCCACUCAGGUAAAAAUAUUUUGAAUUUUAGAAAAAAAUUAUCCAAAUAUUAUUAUUUCAGUUAGGUAUUUGUGGAAGUCUGUGUGGAUCUGGGAAUCUUUAUCUCAAAAUUAGCCUAAGAUCAUGAAUGACCUGUAAUGUAUUGACUGAGGAGGAGGGAGAAAUUGUAACUUUUAAUUUGUGUUUCACAUGAAGUUGCAUAUAGCUAAACUAAAUCAAACUCACCUCUGCAAAUUACAGGAGGACUAUAUUAACACUGAACUGAAGGCUUUAAAAAUCUCAUUCAGUUGUUAUACACAGACUUAACAGCUAUAUUUUUCUAUCUUUUUGUAAAUGUGUGAAGCAGAUGAAAACACAAGCCUGAUAAAGCCAGCUAUCUCUUCUCUAUAGUACAUCAUAGCGUGCCCAGGGAGGAUCCACUGCCUCUGGUAGUUAAAGCAUUUGGGAAAAUAUUUGCUGAGUGUGAGCAACAGGAGCAUACUGAGACUUCACACAAGGCAGCUGAUCUGGUGGAUGACUACCUAGCACAGGAGCUCUGGGAGUUAUGAUGUGCCUCUGAGCAUUAGACACCUUUCUGUUAAGUUAGGGAAAAUACUUGUAUUGGAAAGAGUUGAACUCGAAUGACUACAUGAAGACCAGGAAAGAUGUGAUUGAAGGCCUUGGUGAACAAACUGAUCCUUCAGCUGAAGUUGAUGACACAAUGUAUCAAGCAAAUGUGAGGCCAAGUUCAAGCACAGCCAUCCAUACCUCAACGGGGACCACUUCUCCCAGAGCACCGCUUCCCUCAAGAGCGGCAGCUUCUUCAUUACAGUGGCUGCGCCGUCUCCAAGCCUGCCCUCGCAAACCUUUUCCCGGAGACCAAAGCCUGCUGCAUCUCGCUAGAAUUGCCUUCGGUUACGCUUCAAAGCGUCUGCCCGACGGAGCUGCUGCUGUGCGCCGGCCUGUGCCCGGCCCGCGCGGGGCGGCCACGAGCCGAGCGAGCCGGCGUGCUCCCGAGCUCGGCAGAGACAAACGAAAGAGGCUGAAAGAAAAACUCGCAAAAUCUUUGUUGACCCUUCGUAGUGAGGAUGCUGGUGGGACCCCAUCUCUGGAUUUAGGAAAUAGCCUGCCUUUAGAAAAUAGUUACUCCUGA
Molecule: long non-coding RNA, 1138 nt
Filed under: Apteryx owenii (little spotted kiwi)
Lineage: Eukaryota; Metazoa; Chordata; Aves; Apterygiformes; Apterygidae
Description: lncRNA (ENSAOWG00000017733.1)
Source: RNAcentral